Molecule: long non-coding RNA, 589 nt
Organism: Oreochromis niloticus (Nile tilapia)
Lineage: Eukaryota; Metazoa; Chordata; Actinopteri; Cichliformes; Cichlidae
Exons: 2
Source: RefSeq, a predicted model, not a curated record
UGUUUCUUUAGAUAGUUCAGUAGCUUGUUGUGGGACAGAGAAUGCCUUUGUGACACCCAUGUGUAGUAGAUGCUUGUUUUCCUUUAAAACACACUGUGUGUUUCUUUAAUAUCUAGCAUAAUAUUCAUUGUUAUAUCCUUUUUUUUAAAAAAAGAAUGUGUGUUUUUAAAUGUCAGCGUAGUAACUGCUUCUUCAUCCCUUACCACUAUGUGUGGUAUGCCCGUGUUAGGCUUAGAAUAAAAUAUCAUUUGUAUACCGUUGUUCAUAUGCCUUAUACUAGCUAUAAACACACUGUAUGCCUUUUUCAGUUUUAGUACAGCAUAACAUAUGUUUUUCUUCUCACAUCUAUUCUCCCCUUUUAGUAUGUGGUAGUUGUAUAUGUAUCGCUAAGACAUUCAGACAUUAAUAACUUGUAUGUUUACAGUGACUGUUCCUGGAUAAGGCUCGCUGUGUCGUGUGUGUGUGUGUGUGUGUGUGUGUGUGUGUGUGUGUGUGUCUGUGUGGGUGAAUGGACACCGUUUGGUGUGUGGAACUAACACCUUUCGUUGUAUGUAACUGCAACAAAUAAACAAUUGUUUUGGCCAUAUGA